CCAAUAGCGUAUAUUAAAGUUGUUGCAGUUAAAAAGCUCGUAGUUGAAUUUCGGGGUCAGUAGGUUGGUCGUGCCACCGGUACGUACUGGUCUCACUGAUUCCUCCUUCCUGAUGAGCUGUAAUGCCAUUAAUUUGGUGUUGCAGGGAAUCUGGACUGUUACUUUGAAAAAAUUAGAGUGUUUAAAGCAGGCUAACGCUUGAAUACAUUAGCAUGGAAUAAUGAAAUAGGACGUUCGAUCCUAUUUUGUUGGUUUCUAGGAUUGACGUAAUGAUUAAUAGGGAUAGUUGGGGGCAUUAGUAUUCAAUUGUCAGAGGUGAAAUUCUUGGAUUUAUUGAAGACUAACUACUGCGAAAGCAUUUGCCAAGGAUGUUUUCAUUAAUCAAGAACGAAAGUUAGGGGAUCGGAGACGAUCAGAUACCGUCGUAGUCUUAACCAUAAACUAUGCCGACUAGGGAUCGGAUGAUGUUAAUUUUUUAAUGACUCAUUCGGCGCCUUACG
This 500-nucleotide ribosomal RNA is filed under the name uncultured Glomeromycotina. RNAcentral describes it as "partial small subunit ribosomal RNA". It matches the Rfam family "Eukaryotic small subunit ribosomal RNA", at positions 591 to 1092 of the family's 1831-position model. The record is from RNAcentral. Lineage: Eukaryota; Fungi; Glomeromycota.